UUACUUACUCGGCAGGGGAGAUACUCUGAUCAAGAAGGCAGUCCAUCCAGGGUGAGGCUCAGCCACUCCAGCUGUGCUGACCCCCCAAAUUCCCCAAAUGUGGGAAUCUUGGCUGAAUAAUUUCUGGUAGUAGGGGACUGCAUCUCCCCUU
The sequence is a small nuclear RNA, 151 nucleotides long. Its record names the gene U1. It matches the Rfam family "U1 spliceosomal RNA". Rfam says of the family: U1 is a small nuclear RNA (snRNA) component of the spliceosome (involved in pre-mRNA splicing). Its 5' end forms complementary base pairs with the 5' splice junction, thus defining the 5' donor site of an intron. The record is from Ensembl.